GGAGGAUCCAAGCGUUAUCCGGAAUCAUUGGGUUUAAAGGGUCCGUAGGCGGUUUAGUAAGUCAGUGGUGAAAGCCCAUCGCUCAACGGUGGAACGGCCAUUGAUACUGCUAGACUUGAAUUAUUAGGAAGUAACUAGAAUAUGUAGUGUAGCGGUGAAAUGCUUAGAGAUUACAUGGAAUACCAAUUGCGAAGGCAGGUUACUACUAAUGGAUUGACGCUGAUGGACGAAAGCGUGGGUAGCGAACAGGAUUAGAUACCCUGGUAGUCCACGCCGUAAACGAUGGAUACUAGCUGUUGGGAGCAAUCUCAGUGGYUAARMGRAAGUGAUAAGUAUCCCACCUGGGGAGUACGUUC
Molecule: ribosomal RNA, 356 nt
Filed under: uncultured bacterium
Lineage: Bacteria
Description: bacterial SSU rRNA
Rfam family: Bacterial small subunit ribosomal RNA
Source: RNAcentral